CUCUGCUCCUGCGGCACAAUGUGAUCCACCGACAAGGAGGGACCCCUUUAAGGCGUCGGAUAAGAUAAGUCUUAUAACAUAUAUAGAUUUAUGAUAAUUAAGACUGAGCUAACAGAUGAGAAGUCCUAGUCAUUGGCCAAGCAGCUUUGAACCUAAUACAAGUUUCUGUGUAUUCAUUUGGGCUGGCGGAUGGCGUAAAGCACACACGUGUCGGUGGGGCUCAGGCAGCUUUUGGCAGAAAGAUUUAUCGUAACAUUUCUUAACUUAUUAAAAUAUAUUAUUUGAUGCCUUUUAAUUAUUGUUUUUAGACAAGUUCUCAUUAUGCAGGCAGGCUGGCCUGCAACCCAGGAACCUUCUGCUUUAGUCUCCCUAGUGUGAGAGAUACAGAUGUGAAGCAACACACCAGGUUGGAGGAAGUGUGCCAUUGGGAGUGGGCUUUGAGGUUUCAAAAGCCUGCACAAAGCCCAGGCUCAGUCUCUCUCUCUCUCUCUCUCUCUCUCUCUCUCUCUCUCUCUCUCUCUCUCUCUCUCGCAGAUAUAUUCCUCCACUAUAUUUGGUAAGACAGAGUUCCUUACUGAGCUUAGAGAUUAUUGCUUUGGUUAAACUGGCUGACCAGUGAGAACUGGGGAUCUUGUUGUCCCAGUGCUGGAAUUACAUGUGUUCACUGCUGUGCCUGGCUUUUACAUGACUGUUGAGGAUCUAAAGUCAUGUCCUCAUGCUUGUGCAAUACAUACUUUACCAACAGAGCCAUCUCUCCAGCCCAACUUUUUUGAAUGCAUAAAAAUUCUAUGCAUUUUCGUGUAUUUUUUAAGGUUAGUUUAGAGAUCUUUACAAUUCUAUUGUUAUAUUGUCUGACAUUUUAUUUUCUGUUGUUUCUUGCUAGUAUGAACUGUUUCUCCCAAAGUAGAAGGAAUAGGAUAGUCAGUAAACCUUUGCCAUUCUAUCACUUCAUGGCAAAGACAUAGCUUUUAUGAUAUAAGUGGGCAGUGUCUAAGGUGUGGUCUUAGCAAAACUGAAAUAAACCUGUGUUGUGUGAUAUUUUGUUUGUGUUCUGACAAAUAAAGCUUGCCUGGAAUCAGAGGGCAGAGCUAGCCACUAGUUAACCAUAGAGGUCUGGAGGGCUGUACGGAGAGGAAAUGGGAAGUGAUAAGGUCAGGCAGAGAGAGAAUGUAGGCCCUUUUGGGUGGAGAAAUGGAAGAGGUAGAAAGCAACUGUGGCUUCUCUUCUGCCUCUCUGAUCUUUCAGGUUUUAACCCCAAUCUCUGACUCCUAGUUUUCAUUGGUAAGACUACUUGGAUUAACACUUCAAAGCUGACAGCUUAUAUGGGAACCUCAAAUUACACAUUUAGUGAAAGUUUCCAACCAACUGAGCUCUGUGUCUCUGGAGGUCAACUGCUGAUGUAUCACAAGGAUUUAGAGUUCUUGAACUAGGAUGACCUUAAGAGUCAUCUAGUUCACCUUCUGGGUGCUUUUUUUUUUUUUUAUCUUUUCUGUGGUUUGUUAGUUUUGUGUCUGGCUAACAGUUGUGUGACUUUCUCAGAGAUGUGACAUCCACCACUUUGCAGAAGCAGUAACACUUCUCCAUUGUAUCUCUUUAUUAUGCCCUGACUAUAUAUACAUCAGAAUAGUGGUUCUUAACUUUAUACUGCAAUGAUUUCUUUUGUAUCUGCUGUACUUAUAGAGCUAUAAGUGUCUUUGGGGAAGCAGCCAUGACUUAAUGCAUUUAUUUAUUUAUUUAUUUAUUUAUUUAUUUAUUUCAAUUCUCACAGUCUAGCAGGUUCUUGGUACCUAGUAGGCACCAAAGGACAACAAAUAAAUAAGUCUUAUAUAGAAUGCUUCUCAUGAACCUUUUCUGUUUCUUCUGGAGCCUGAAUCUCUUGGAUCCCCAGCUGACUGUCCAUCUCAGCUCCUACCUUUCUGAGACACUACUCAUGGACAUCACUCUGAGAGAGACCCAGAGAGGCCUUGUAUGAAGUUGUGAAGGUGAAGCCUGGAUUUCAAUGGGGACCCCAAGAAGUUGGAGAUGCCAGAAUUUUUGGAUACCUUCCAAGGAAAGCUGCUAACAAGAAGUGGAGGAGGGGUUGCAGUAACAAAGAUGAAAAGAAUAUGAGAUCUGAAGAGCAAUUUGACAUCAGACAUGGAGAUGUGGAGUUUGGAGUUCACCCAGCAUGGCUGACACUAUCAGAAAGUAUGGCAAAUUAGCCUAUCAUGAUCCACCCAAGACAUUGUACUACGACUACUGAGUCCAAUCAGUACCUCAUAUGUGGGAGAUAGUAAAUAACAUUUGACUAUAUAAUACAGUCAGGGUAACUGAACAAAGACAAAGAGAUCUUCAGGGUAAACCUGUAUCCAACCUGAGAAGCAGGACCAUGUAACUGAGAAACCUAAGAUAUCCAAUGAGACAAGGCUCACACACAGAAUAGUGAGGGGAAAUAGAAUCUGAGUUAUAAGCGUGGCUGAGGCAGGACCAUAGCCUGGGAUACACAUGAGAACACUAUCCAGGGAGAAGUGAAAGAACGGUUUUGCCUUCUGACCUCUGCAAUAACUCUAUUACGAUUCUUGCUGUGCGGCCAUCCACAGGCUUACAUUUAUCUUUCAGACUUUUCUAGCAAAGAAUUAUCUUGCCUAGGAGGGAAGACAGAAGAUAAACAGUCAUGUCACUUGCAACCUGAGGAAGAAAUGUUAGCAACUGAGGGCUCUGUGCAGCUCAAUCGAUAUCACUGGGCAGUGUCCAUUGAUGGGUUUUCAUCUAGCCAUUUCUCAGAGCCAAAGCACUUCCCAAGGAGAGGCAGUUAAGACAUCUUGUUUGUUCUCCCCUCCAUUGCCAAUACCAUGUUUUCCUCAUUUCCUAAAUGAAUCACAGAUGGUCCCUGACUUACAGUGGUUCAUCUUAUAAUGUUGUGACUUUACAAAGGUGCAAAAGCUCUAUGUGCUCAGCAGAAGCUGAACUUUGAAUUUUGAUCUCUUCCUGGGCUGGUGGCAUGAUGCUCUCAUGAGAUGCUGGGCAGCAGUACUGAGCUGUCGCUCCGGUUAGCCAUGAGAUCACGAGAGCAAACAACUGCUACUCUGCGGUGUUGUGCGUUGCUAAGCUGUGCUGUUUGCUAGGUUAGUCGCAUUAAUAACCCCCCCCAACUUACGAUAUUUUCAAUGUACAACAGAGUAAGUGGGACAUCUGUGGUGUCAUAAUCCUGGCUCACUUCUCUACCCAUCCUUCUUCCUCCCUCCCCGCCUCCCUCGCACUCUUUACAUUGUUGAUGGAGCUGCUCUCAUUGACACAUCUCAGUGUGGAAAGUUACAUCAAUGCCCCCCAUGUCUUAUCCCUCUUGCCCCUUUGGAAAGCUUAGAUUUUAUGAUUUCUUCUAAAAGGGUGGAGGAAAAUAUUCUUCACCUGUUGGUUUUGAGUUUGACCAUGUGACUGGUGUCAGCCAAUAAAGAGGAGUGAAAGCGAUGAUGAGCCAGUUCCAAGCCCUGGGGUUUAAGAAGCUUGUGGCAUUUCCUCUUGCUUGUUUAUUCUUACUUAUCUUUGCUCAGCUGUUAUUCCCACCAUGAAGAAACCCUGCUUAAUGGAUCAGUUGCCCAUUUCCACCUCUGCUUUCUGAUUCCAUAACAUUUUGUUUUCAUUUGGUGUAGCCCCCAAUAUUAUUUUAGAAUCAGUUGUCGUGGCCCUGACUAGUCAGAUACCCAAAUCUGUUUUCACCCCUCUUUCUUUGUGUGACAAAUCCUGAUUUGCCUGGCAGUGUUUGCCAGGGAGCCCCACAUACCUUCCUGUGAGUACCUGAGGGUCUGAUGAAUGCAGAAGAUGCAACUCUGAUGAAUGUAGUUGUUUUUUAUUUCUGUACAACCCCCAUAUAAGGACCAGGAAUUUAGUCUCACUUGCUUUUGUACCUUCACUACUUGGCAGAGUGGCAGGCACACAAUAGCUCUUGGUACAGGCUUGCUGAAUUGAGUUGAAGCACCCACAUUGUAUGGAAGCUAGAGGUUUGAGGAUGUAUGUUUGGGUUCUAUCCUUCACCAGAGAUCCUAGAACACCUACAAAUCUAUCUGUUCCCCAAACUGUCUACUAAUUACUUCUUCGUCUCAUAGCAUACCCUACUGUAUUCUACAGGGAAUUGAAAAGAAUACAGCCAAUACAUGAACUCAAGGACAAUGCUCUACUGUUUAUUAAGAACUUGAAGCCACAGUGAAUAAAUUCCUUUACGAAUUAAUGAGCAGACACAUUGUUAGUACCAGUAUGAGGCCAAGAUGGUUAGAGGGAUAACUCACCUUCCCUGCCACAAUAGCCAGCCAAAAACUCUUUCUAAACAAACCCAGAGAAUGUCAAAGUAACACAUCAGGAUUCGGUCCCUCUAUCCUCACACUGGGACCAAGGAAGAGGGGAAAGUGGUCUCUCCGGGCUAUCCUGGAGCUGCGUUCCCAGCCACCAAACUAAUCCUGGGGACAGUGUGCCCAAGCAAAGAAGGUUAAUGAGUUGACGUUCCUGCAUACCACCUCACUCUCCAGCUUUAUUCAUUUUGCUCUUCUGUUGUUUUCCUUCGGUGAUGGCCAGAUUCUUCUUCUCUUAUGCAAAAUAAAAGAAAUCCCACCCCUUGGCAUUUUUCUGAAAACCUUCCAGUCACCUGCCUGUCAUUCCGUUUAUUUUUCUCCUCUCCCAGAGCCUCAUAUUGGCUUUGGUUUCAUUACUCUACUAAAACUACUAAUCAGGGUGAGGUUUCCCUCUUGCCAGGCCCCCAGCUCAGCUCCAUCCUCCUCAGCCUUUAUACACACACCCUUGGCUACUUGGAGGAAUACAAGGCCUGUAUAAAGCCACCUCUCAGUCAGGCCACAUCACACACUGAGCUUCUCUUCCCACUGACAGCUGCUGGUGGGGCAGCUGUUUCCUUUUCUACUGCACCGAGAGUAUGUUGAGACAUGGGCAUAGAGUGUUGUAGUAGCUGGUCUCCCCAUAGAAAAGAGAACCUAGCAUGAGUGAAAGUUCACACAUAAUGCUGAAUAUGACCUUUUUGUUACUCUUAGUAUUGAUCAAUAUAAUUUUUUUCCUGAUCAAAUUUGACUUAUGUCUGAGUUUCUUCCAAUUCUGUUCUCAUGCCAUCUUUUCUGGCCAAAGGCAAGCCCCUUCAGUGAACUACCUCUGUGUAGAAGGUUGCAUUUGUGCCCCCAGUAUUUCAUACCUCCCAUUCCUUGGACAGCUUAGACUUUGUAGUUCCUACCAAAAGCUGGGAGGAAAACAGUUCUGAUUCGCUGGUUUGGGGUUUGCCCACAUGGCUGGUUUCAGUUCUGUGGAUGAAUGAUGCCCCAGGGUAGGCUGCACAACAACUUCCCCAAACACCGGUGACCUAAUCUGUCAAACCGUCGACUUGUUAAUUAUAUGGUAGAGGAGCUCUACCAAUGAGAUUAAACUAAAGUGACAUUUUUGUGAUUGCUGUGUUUUCAGAGUGGUCCUAAAUGCAAUUUCAAGUGUCAUUAGAAGAAAUAGAUGGAGGGAGAUUUGCCUAUAGAAGAGCCCUGACUGGUCAGAGAAGCAGAGACUGGGGGAUCUGGUAGCCUCAUUAUUAUAUUCUCCAUUUAUCUGAGAUCAAGUCUGCAGCCUUCACAGCUGUAAAAAUAUCUGAUUUACAUCUGCUUGAGACUGAAGCUUGAAGUGAAAAGUACUGGGCAAUUAUUUCCCACUUUGAAGAGAACAUAUCUCUUGUGAGAGAAGGAAGACAGUUAGUCCAAGCCUUACUUCUAUUUCUCUAAAGAACAUCAUCCAUUUAAAUGUCCUGUAAGAAUACCCUAUACUGUAAGGGAAGGCAGUAGAGACUUGAAUUCCUGUUCCCCAAGGUAGGCAACUUGGGGACUCUCCACCUCACAGGGGAGCCUAAAAGGUGAAGAGAACAUCAAUAAGCUGGGUGAUGCCCACAAGAGCGUAUGACAGGACAAGACGAUUGGUUACCUGCCUGGCAUUCAGGGAUGCUUACUGCGUAAGAUGGUCACAUUCCUGUGUCAAUGCUGCAUUGUGUCCCCUUCUAUCACCAAUUGUGGCCCACUAACAACUGCUGAGACAAGAGAUCUGGGGAAGCCUGAAGCAGGGUCAGCAAAGCUGCUGACUGAACUCUGGUGGCCAAAUACUUUAUUCAGCUUGAUGAGGAUAAGAACUGGGACUCCGCUGGAUUGUUAUAGGCUGAAGCUUUGACUGGAGAAAUGAUAGCCACCCUACCCUCAAAUGACUACCCCGAAGAACUUAACUGGACAACGAAAUGGUAAAUAUCUAGUACAAUACCUGUGCCAGUCCUGAUCGGUCCUUUCCCUUCAGAGCAGCAUGGAGAACAUUGCUACAAAAAGGAAGGAAGAACCAAGCUGAACUCCAGCCAGGCCCCUUGUGUGUCCACUCUAGAGGCUGAGCCUGCUGGCCCAAAGAAACUUGUCUGCUUCCCAGCGUGUUUGAUGGAGCACAUCCGGUUUAAAUUGUCAAUUGUCAGCACAUCCCAGAGCUAGGAAAUAUCAGAGGGAAUUACUGACUGUUUUAUUGAUUUAAUCAGAUACUUUUACACAAAUUAUAGUCCACAAAAUUAUGGGCUCCCUGUAGUCUUGAACAAGGCAGAGCUUCAGUGUAGCUUAAAGUGGAAAGUACCAUCAUCGCUGCAGGUAGGAUCCAGAGGAGCAGAGAUGAACUAAGACAAACGCAGGAAAAGCAGAGGGAGGGAUUUGUUCAGAAGAUGUUUUCCUAGUGCUAGAGAGUGAGCCAGGAGAUGCUCUACCUUUGAGCUAUGCUCAACACCCCUAGAAACAAUUUCUAAGUCAAACGUGUAAGGAGAAGGGAAGGCAAGAGAGGACGUGUGGCAGGAACACUUUGGAUAAUAUUAUCUUCGAGCAAUAAGAAGCCUUUCAAUUUUUUUGAGCAAGAAAAUGAGAUAUUUGGCGCUUUGCUUCAGGAAGAUAACACUGACAAGAAGGUGAGAAUGGAUUACUUUGGGAGGGGACAAGAGAAUGCUUGUGGGUUUUACUGCUUUCACCUGGAAAAGAGGUGAUAAAACUUGUGCUUGGGCACUGAGAGCGAGAACAAUGGCAGACACAUUGUGGCACUCAGUCUGCAGGACUGUUGACUGACUAGGAGAAGGGAGAGGAAGAGUGAAGGCUGGAUGAGUCAGGCCUUCAGUGUGAAGAAAGUGUGUGUUUGCUAAUUUAACACACAGGGUAGAAGCAUGUCUAUCAUUACCAACAUGUUCCUUAUGCAGAUGUGUGUGUGUAUAUUCAGCUUUAUGUAAUGUGAAAUAGUACGCAUCAGUAACAAAAUAUGCACACAUAUAUUCAUACCAUACAAAGACAGGCACACACGUAUGCAUAUAUACAUACAUACACACAGAGACAGAUAGCCAUACACACAUAUAAAAACACACAUACACAGAGAUAUAAGGCUAGACACAUUUACACACAUACAGCUAUACAUAUACGUCAGUACACACACACACACACACACACACACACACACACCCCUAUACACAUCACACUAAAUUGACUCUAACUGUAUAUGAAAUGGGGCACUUUAAAGUGAGGGUGUGAGGCUUUCUAACCUCAUCUGAGAAAGUGCAGCUUUCACACUGGCAGGGGAGGGAUUGUAUGGCUUUGAAAGGACAGGUUUAUCUGACUAACAGUAGUAGCUGUGGCAACUGAGUACUUAUGUGUCAAUAGCUCAUACACCUUGCUUCUCUUGUCCUCGAAGCAGUCUGCAAGAUGAAGGACCACUUCCCAAGCCACGCUCAGCCCCCUCCUACCUUUCCUCACAUAAAGACUGACCUUGUAAUUAAGGGUGACCAUAAAACCCAGAUCUGGACAUGAGGCCAUGUAUGGGAGUGUUUCAGGUGAGACCCUGGCUUCCUCAGAACAGCGUAAGAGGUGCAGCUGGCAAUACCUCUGUGUCUCCGUUUCUGGCUUUACCAAGUCUGAGUGUGACAACUAAAGCUCCAACAGCCAUUUUCUACCAGAGAUGACGGGAGCAGGGGACAGAAAGGUGUGACCUCACUGCAAUGCUCAGUCACUGAACCAGCCUUGGACUCAUUGUGUUAAGAUUUCUAAAAACUGCUAGCUCUUUUUUUUGUUCUUUGCAGACAAACAUACUCUGAGAGAACUGUCAGCAAUGAAUUUCUGAUGCUUAAGUCACCCAGCCUGUGAUAUUUCAUGAUAGGAGCCUUAAGAAAUGAAUGCCCAGUUAAAGCCAAAUACAGAGAAAACAACUUAACCUUAGUGGGUUUUUAGUUUCAUUGAUAAAAUGAUUCAAAAAUGAACUUGAAAGGAAGCUUGAGGUCAGUUGUAUCUGGUUUGAGAGAAAAACAACAGGGCAGGCAAGCUGCUCAGGGAGGAAGAUGCAAAGAGAAGGAAAUCCACAGCAUUUGUAACCAGCCACAGGGAAGAUAUUGGGGAUGGAGUCACUGCAAAAAGGUGGAGGAAGGGUAAGGAAGGGGGAGGGAAGAGGGAGAGAGAGGAAGGGAGAAGAUGAGUGAGAGAGAGGGAAUGGAGAAAGACACACACACACACACACACACAGAGAGAGAGAGAGAGAGAGAGAAAGAGAGAGAGGUUGUACUUUCUGAGUAACUUGGAAAAGCCGGCAGACCUUAUAGCUGCACCAUGGAGGCUUUCAGGUGGGGCCUUGAGGGCGGGGCUUCCGGGAAGGACAAGUACAUUAUUUUCAGAAGGGUGUAAUUAUUCCUCCCAUGUCUUUAGCAAUGGUUUUAGGUGAAUCCAUUUGUGGCAGGCGUGGGAUGGGUGGGAGGUAGGGGUGGUGUCAGAGAUGGAUUCUUGGUCAGGUGAUUGACAGUCCAAGCUGAAUUAACCCUUAAGGAGACCCUAGAAUAUAAUGUUCUAAUUUUGGAGCAGAUCAGAAUAUCAUGUCUUCAUCUGGGGCCAGAGUAGAUUUUUAUUCUUUUGAUCAGGAGGAAAUAGAUUUCCUUUGAUGUGUUUCAACAGAGCCUUGAUAUCAUCCUCAACAGCCUCUGAGGCUGUUGUGACAUUUAGCCACUAAGAGUUGAGAUACUGAGAUCCUGCGACUUUGGCUGUCUUCCUGCUCUGAGCAUGGAGGCUCUGGCCACUGGCUUCUCGACACUUCCCUCAUGUCAUAGGCCCCAAACAGCAAUCUGAGCACCUGCCUCAGUCCAAGAAACCCAAAUCAGCUCCAGCCACGAAGCUGGAGGACAAGUUAGCCUCUCCGGCCUGCUGAAAGGAGAAAAAGAACAGCAAGAAGCAAUUGAACACAUUGAUGGAAAUACAAAAUGAAAUAGACAGACUUAAUGAACAUGCCAGUGAAGAAAUUUUGAAAGUAGAACAAAAAUAUAACAAACUCCAUCAGCCAUUUUUUCAGAAGAGGUAAGAAUUGAUCGCCAAAAUCCCAAAUUUUUGGGUAACGACGUUUAUCAACCAUCCACAAGUGUCUGCACUGCUUGGGGAGGAAGACGGAGAGGUUCGUAUUGCUUGACCAGAGUUGAAGUGACAGAAUAGAUUUUUAUUUUGAUGAAAAUUCUUACUUUGAAAAUAAAGUUCUCUCCACAGAAUUUCAUUCGAAUGAGAGUGGUGACCCAUCAUCAAAGUUCACUGAAAUCAAAUGGGAAUCUGGAAAGGAUUUGACAAAACACUCAAGUCAAACGCAGAGUAAGGCCAGCAGGAAGAGGCAGUGCAAAGAGCCAAAAAGCAUCUUUACCUGGGUUUACUGACCAUUCUGAUGCAGGUGCAGGUGAGUUAGGAGAGGUCAUCGAAGAUGAUAUUUGGCCAAACCCCUUGCAGUACUAUUUGGUUCCUGAUAUGGAUGAUGAAGGAGAAACAGAAGAUGAUGAUGGUGAAGAGGAGAAAGGCUUGGAAGAUACUGAUGAAGAAGGGGAUGAAGGUGAAGAAGAUGAAGAUGAUGGAGACGAGGAUGAGUGGCACAGAAGACUGAUGGAUUCCAAACCUGUUUUUAUUUUCUUUUAUUUUAAUUUUCUCCAGUCCCUGGGAGCAAGUUGCAGUCAUUUCUCUCCCCUCCCCAAUCCCUCUUGUGCUCAGUUACCCUAUUUUUGAGGUCUUUUUUCAAUACCAUGGUUCUCAACUUAUUUGGGGGGAAAUACCUUGAGCAAAAUACGAGAAAAGAAUCUCCACUCUUCUGUUCUAAAUUAGUUUUUGUCCUUUCUUGUCUCAAACUAUGGAUUCAACACCGCCAACGUACUCUGUGGGAAAAAAAGAAAAGCCCUCCGGCUCCCUGGGCUCUGCUGGAGGCUGGAGGGGGGGCGGUGCUAGGCCCCUGUGUAGUAGUGCAUAAAAUUCUAGAUUUUUUUCCUUUCUCUGUAUAUUGGGCUCAGAGAUCACACUGUGUCUCUGUAUGAAUACAGACAGUUAGCAUUUACCAACAUGUAUCUGUCUACUUUCUCUUGUUUAAUAAAAAGAAAAAAAGAAGAGAAAAGGGGGUAUAGAAAGUCAGCAAGGGUGGGUUUGAGGUGUCUGAGGCAGGUAAGUGGGCAUUGUGACAACAUGGCUUCUCCUUUGGCAUGUUUAAUUGUGAUGUUUAACAGAUAUCCUUGCAGUUUAAGAUGUCACUUUUAAAAUAAAAUUCUCUCCUAACUAUGAUAUGAGCCCUGCCACUCAAUGGGAGAAUCAGCAGAACCUGUAGGGUUUUAUUUGGAAUUAACAUUCUCUGUUGUAACUUUAUUUUUAAUUUUUAUUUUUAUCAUUGUAAUAAUAAUAACUAUUAUUUUUGGUUUUCACUGGAAAGAAAAAGGGUCUCAUUUUUAAAUGUUGAGGUGUACAAGUUGCUUUGUUAUAAUAAAACCAAUGUGUACACGAAGGACCAGAUGCUUUUCUGUCAGGGCAGAUGCUCAAUAUGACCUUCCAAGUUUGACCUGGAU
Molecule: long non-coding RNA, 10843 nt
Filed under: Cricetulus griseus (Chinese hamster)
Lineage: Eukaryota; Metazoa; Chordata; Mammalia; Rodentia; Cricetidae
Description: lncRNA (ENSCGRG00015039524.1)
Source: RNAcentral